Molecule: ribosomal RNA, 752 nt
Filed under: uncultured archaeon
Lineage: Archaea
Description: bacterial SSU rRNA
Rfam family: Archaeal small subunit ribosomal RNA
Source: RNAcentral
GGAUAACCUACCCUUAGGACUGGGAUAACCUUGGGAAACUGGGGAUAAUACUGGAUAGGCAAUUUUUCCUGUAAUGGUUUUUUGUUUAAAUGUUUUUUCGCCUAAGGAUGGGUCUGCGGCCGAUUAGGUAGUUGGUUAGGUAAUGGCUUACCAAGCCGUUGAUCGGUACGGGUUGUGAGAGCAAGAGCCCGGAGAUGGAACCUGAGACAAGGUUCCAGGCCCUACGGGGUGCAGCAGGCGCGAAACCUCCGCAAUGUGAGAAAUCGCGACGGGGGGAUCCCAAGUGCCAUUCUUAACGGGAUGGCUUUUCAUUAGUGUAAAGAGCUUUUGGAAUAAGAGCUGGGCAAGACCGGUGCCAGCCGCCGCGGUAACACCGGCAGCUCUAGUGGUAGCAAUUUUUAUUGGGCCUAAAGCGUCCGUAGCCGGUUUAAUAAGUCUCUGGUGAAAUCUUGCAGCUUAACUGUGGGAAUUGCUGGAGAUACUAUUAGACUUGAGACCGGGAGAGGUUAGAGGUACUCCCAGGGUAGAGGUGAAAUUCUGUAAUCCUGGGAGGACCGCCUGUUGCGAAGGCGUCUAACUGGAACGGUUCUGACGGUGAGGGACGAAAGUUAGGGGCGCGAACCGGAUUAGAUACCCGGGUAGUCCUAACUGUAAACGAUGCGGACUUGGUGUUGGGGGUGGCUUUGAGCUGCUCCAGUGCCGAAGGAAGCUGUUAAGUCCGCCGCCUGGGAAGUACGGUCGCAAGACUGAAA